This 74-nucleotide transfer RNA is filed under the name Halorhabdus utahensis DSM 12940. RNAcentral's name for it is "tRNA-Trp (CCA) (tRNA-Trp-CCA-1-1)". It matches the Rfam family "tRNA". Rfam says of the family: Transfer RNA (tRNA) molecules are approximately 80 nucleotides in length. The record is from RNAcentral. RNAcentral also lists the same sequence under 5 other names. Lineage: Archaea; Methanobacteriati; Methanobacteriota; Halobacteria; Halobacteriales; Haloarculaceae.
GGGGUCGUGGCCAAGUCCGGCAUGGCGACUGACUCCAGAUCAGUCGAUCGGGAGUUCAAAUCUCUCCGACCCCA